AUACGGAGGGUGCAAGCGUUAAUCGGAAUUACUGGGCGUAAAGCGUACGUAGGCGGUCCGUUAAGUUAGAUGUGAAAGCCCCGGGCUUAACCUGGGGACUGCAUUUAAAACUGGCGAACUAGAGUUGAGUAGAGGGGAGUGGAAUUUCAGGUGUAGCGGUGAAAUGCGUAGAGAUCUGAAGGAACACCAGUGGCGAAGGCGACUCCCUGGACUCGAACUGACGCUGAGGUACGAAAGCGUGGGUAGCAAACGGGAUUAGAAACCCCAGUAGUCC
RNAcentral lists this ribosomal RNA (274 nucleotides) under uncultured bacterium. Its description in RNAcentral is "partial 16S ribosomal RNA". It matches the Rfam family "Bacterial small subunit ribosomal RNA", at positions 523 to 796 of the family's 1533-position model. The record is from RNAcentral.